RNAcentral lists this ribosomal RNA (529 nucleotides) under uncultured Actinomyces sp. RNAcentral describes it as "bacterial SSU rRNA". It matches the Rfam family "Bacterial small subunit ribosomal RNA", at positions 9 to 510 of the family's 1533-position model. Lineage: Bacteria; Bacillati; Actinomycetota; Actinomycetes; Actinomycetales; Actinomycetaceae. The record is from RNAcentral.
GAGUUUGAUCCUGGUUCAGGACGAACGCUGGCGGCGUGCUUAACACAUGCAAGUCGAACGGGCUUUCCUGCUGGUUUUUGCUGGUGGGUUGGUUAGUGGCGAACGGGUGAGUAACACGUGAGUAACCUGCCCUCUUCUCCUGGAUAACUGCUUGAAAGGGUGGCUAAUACGGGGUGGUCUGGCCUGCCUGCAUGGGUGGGUUGGUAUAGGUUCAGCUGUUUUGGUUGUUCCGGUGGGGGAUGGGCUCGCGGCUUAUCAGCUUGUUGGUGGGGUGAUGGCUUACCAAGGCUUUGACGGGUAGCCGGCCUGAGAGGGUGGACGGUCACACUGGGACUGAGAUACGGCCCAGACUCCUGCGGGAGGCAGCAGUGGGGAAUAUUGCACAAUGGGCGGAAGCCUGAUGCAGCGACGUCGCGUGAGGGAUGGAGGCCUUCGGGUUGUGAACCUCUUUUUCCGGUGGUGAAGGCCUGCUUCUUUGUGGGUGGGUUGACGGUAGCCGGGUUAGGAAGCGCCGGCUAACUACGUGCCA